CCCUCUUGUGGUAAGUGAGCAGAUUGCUCUCGGUUUGGUACAGUACCUGGGAAUGGAGUGCAGAUAGAGCAAAAGUCUGCAGAACUCAUGAGGAGAAAGUUGAGUGGACGGCCAGCCUUUUCUGCCCCCGUAGACCUCAACCACAGCCCGGCCAGCUCUGUCACGACUUCCUGGUAUUGAUGCAGAGCAGAGCGGCUGAAACUCAUUAUGACUGUAUUAAGAUUCGAGAAACUGGAUCAGAGACGAGGGGCUUAUAGUCGUGAGACAUAAAGGAAGAACAUCUGGUCCACAUGCAGACACAUGAUGAGAGAGCUUACAUGCAUUUUCACAGUGUUAUCAACAACAAUGUACUUUAUAUUGAAAUAUGAAAACGCAUGCAUGCCUGAAUGAGUGCUGUGAUUUUACAGAAGGAACGUGUGAAACAGCACCCUCUACUGGCUGAUUGUUUUGACAAUAAUAAUUCUCCCAAAGAUGAAAAUAUCACUCUCAUGCUUUUUCUUUUUUUGAGUGAACUCCAACUACCGCUUUAGUGACCAUGAAAGGAACACGAGUGAGUGUGUGGUGAAUGUGUUUGUGAGACUCAGGAGGUCGGUCACUCCUGUCAUAUCUUUUCUGAGUGUUUGCUUUAAGCUCAAAAGAUACGGGUUUGUGUUUGAGUGUGUGAAUGUCUGGACAUUUCAGGCAAACACACCUAUUCUGCUGAGUCUCCAUGUGUGUGAGGAGAUUAGCUGUGUUUACACAGAGUGUGUUAUCAGUCAUUAGUCUGAGAGCCACACACACACACACACACCUCUGUUUAAAUUCAUUUGUUCUAAUGCUGAGCCAUCACAUCGAGAACCUGAGUGCAGAAUAAACCUUUCAUAUACACAUUAUCAGCUUGUCAAGCUCAUCUGACCAACAGUUGUUGAGAGGUUUAGAAAACAGGUGAUGUUAAGCUUCUUUAUCAGUGUUUACAGCAUUGCACAUGAGAUUUAAAUAGGCUAUUUAGGUUUUUCAACUGUGCAUGAUUCAUGAUGCACAAUCUACAGUAUUGGUACUAUACUGGUUAUCAGCUCGUAUUAGAGAUUUUUCUUAAAUUGGUUGAUAUUGGAUAUAUUGGCUGAUUUUUAAUUGCUCCUUAUUAUCUUUUCUAUCAACAUGCUCAAAGUUAAACUUUAAAAACUCGAAUAAUUUAAUAAAACUGUCAUAUGAA
Carassius carassius (crucian carp) is the source of this 1192-nucleotide long non-coding RNA. RefSeq lists it as uncharacterized. NCBI's taxonomy places the organism in Eukaryota, Metazoa, Chordata, Actinopteri, Cypriniformes, Cyprinidae. The record is from RefSeq and is a predicted model, not a curated record. The transcript has 2 exons.